UACAGAGGUCCCAAGCGUUGUUCGGAUUCACUGGGCGUAAAGGGUGCGUAGGUGGCCAGGUAAGUUUGGUGUGAAAGCUCGGAGCUUAACUCCGAAAAGUCAUUGAAUACUAUCUGGCUGGAGGGUCGGAGGGGAGACUGGAAUUCUCGGUGUAGUGGUGAAAUGCGUAGAUAUCGAGAGGAACACCAGCGGCGAAGGCGGCUCACUGGGCUCCACCUGACGCUGAGGCGCGAAAGCGUGGGGAGCAAACCGG
This 253-nucleotide ribosomal RNA is filed under the name uncultured bacterium. RNAcentral describes it as "partial 16S ribosomal RNA". It matches the Rfam family "Bacterial small subunit ribosomal RNA", at positions 524 to 776 of the family's 1533-position model. The record is from RNAcentral.